Molecule: ribosomal RNA, 1544 nt
Filed under: Aliinostoc sp. SA28
Lineage: Bacteria; Bacillati; Cyanobacteriota; Cyanophyceae; Nostocales; Nodulariaceae
Description: bacterial SSU rRNA
Rfam family: Bacterial small subunit ribosomal RNA
Source: RNAcentral
AGAGUUUGACCUGGCUCAGGAUGAACGCUGGCGGUAUGCUUAACACAUGCAAGUCGAACCGUCCCUUCGGUGAUAGUGGCGGACGGGUGAGUAACGCCGUAGGAUCUAGCUCUAGGUCGGGGACAACCACUGGAACGGUGGCUAAUACCGGAUGAGCCGAAGGUAAAAGAUUAAUUGCCUAGAGAUGAGCUCGCGUCUGAUUAGCUAGUAGGUGUGGUAAGAGCGCACCUAGGCGACGAUCAGUAGCUGGUCUGAGAGGAUGAUCAGCCACACUGGGACUGAGACACGGCCCAGACUCCUACGGGAGGCAGCAGUGGGGAAUUUUCCGCAAUGGGCGAAAGCCUGACGGAGCAAUACCGCGUGAGGGAGGAAGGCUCUUGGGUUGUAAACCUCUUUUCUCAGGGAAUAAGAACUGAAGGUACCUGAGGAAUAAGCAUCGGCUAACUCCGUGCCAGCAGCCGCGGUAAUACGGAGGAUGCAAGCGUUAUCCGGAAUGAUUGGGCGUAAAGGGUCCGCAGGUGGCCUUGUAAGUCUGCUGUUAAAGAGUGAGGCUUAACCUCAUAAAAGCAGUGGAAACUACAAAGCUAGAGUGCGUUCGGGGUAGCAGGAAUUCCUGGUGUAGCGGUGAAAUGCGUAGAGAUCAGGAAGAACACCGGUGGCGAAAGCGUGCUACUAGGCCGUAACUGACACUGAGGGACGAAAGCUAGGGGAGCGAAUGGGAUUAGAUACCCCAGUAGUCCUAGCCGUAAACGAUGGAUACUAGGCGUGGCUUGUAUCGACCCGAGCCGUGCCGGAGCUAACGCGUUAAGUAUCCCGCCUGGGGAGUACGCACGCAAGUGUGAAACUCAAAGGAAUUGACGGGGGCCCGCACAAGCGGUGGAGUAUGUGGUUUAAUUCGAUGCAACGCGAAGAACCUUACCAAGACUUGACAUGUCGCGAAUCCUCUUGAAAGGGAGGAGUGCCUUCGGGAGCGCGAACACAGGUGUUGCAUGGCUGUCGUCCACUCGUGUCGUGAGAUGUUGGGUUAAGUCCCGCACCAAGCGCAACCCUCGUUUUUAGUUGCCAGCAUUAAGUUGGGCACUCUAGAGAGACUGCCGGUGACAAACCGGAGGAAGGUGGGGAUGACGUCAAGUCAGCAUGCCCCUUACGUCUUGGGCUACACACGUACUACAAUGCUACGGACAAAGGGCAGCUACACAGCGAUGUGAUGCAAAUCUCAGAAACCGUAGCUCAGUUCAGAUCGAAGCUUGCAACUCAGCUUCGUGAAGGAGGAAUCGCUAGUAAUUGCAGGUCAGCAUACUGCAGUGAAUUCGUUCCCGGGCCUUGUACACACCGCCCGUCACACCAUGGAAGCUGGUCACGCCCGAAGUCAUUACCUCAACCCUUCGGGGAGGGGGAUGCCUAAGGUAGGACUGGUGACUGGGGUGAAGUCGUAACAAGGUAGCCGUACCGGAAGGUGUGGCUGGAUCACCUCCUUUUUAGGGAGACCUAAUCCACUCAGAAUCUCGAAAGCAAACAGCCAAUAGAGAAUGAGAGGGUCUAGC